AUGCACAAGAGUGCCCGCCCGUGCACAAGCGUCUCUGCCCAUGCGCAAGUGUGUCCUCCCAUGCACAAGCAUCUCUGCCCAUGCACAAGUGUGUCCUCCCAUGCACAAGAGUGUCCGCCCGUGCACAAGCGUCUCUGCCCGUGCACAAGAGUGUCCGCCCAUGCACAAGAAUGUCCGCCCAUGCACAAGAGUGUCCGCCUGUGCACAAGCGUCUCUGCCCAUGCACAAGCGUGUCUUCCCAUGCACGAGUGUCUCUGCCCAUGCAUAAGCGUGUCUCCCAUGCACAAGCGUCUCUGCCCGUGCACAAGUGUGUCCUCCCAUGCACAAGAAUGUCUGCCCAUGCACAAGAGUGUCCGCCCGUGCACAAGCGUCUCUGCCCGUGCACAAGUGUGUCCGCCCAUGCACAAGUGCAAAGCAAGAUAUCAUUGCUUCUGGUUACACCCACCAAGUCCAGGUGCCCUCCUGACUCGGGAGCACACCUGUCCUGUUUCAGGUGGGGACUGCCCACCUCUCCCCAUGGGACAGGAUCCGAACCAGAUGCUUCACAGAGCUUGGCUCAGGGGACGGGAGGUGGCUUUUCCAGCUGGCAGGUGGGAGCUGGUGUCCGAUGGGAGAACGGCCCCCACACGGAGCGGGCCGUGGGUGAGGGGAAUGAUGUCUCAGUCUGCUCUGACGGCGAUAACGCUGCGUGAGGGGGUGACCUUGAACAACAGACACUUACUUCUCACGGUUCUGGAGGCUGGAAGUCCGAGAUCAAGGUGCCGGCAGAUUUGGUUUCCGGUGAAGCGUCUCCCCUCUACUCGAAGACAACUCCAUCUGGCCGUGCCCUCGGGUGGCCUGUCUUUGCUGCAGGCGGGGAGGGAGGGAAAGACCCUGCCCUGGUGUCUGCCCCUCUUACAGGGACAUCAGUCUGGCUGGGUCACAGCCCGACCCCACGGCCUCAUUAUCGCCUUAAUCGCCUCCCACCUCCAAACACCCACACUGCAGGUCAGGACCUUAGCACAGGACGUUUGGGGGACGUAG
This 1023-nucleotide long non-coding RNA is filed under the name Felis catus (domestic cat). Its description in RNAcentral is "lncRNA (ENSFCAG00000050817.1)". The record is from RNAcentral. Lineage: Eukaryota; Metazoa; Chordata; Mammalia; Carnivora; Felidae.